GACAAACGCUGGCGGCGUGUAUUAGGCAUGCAAGUCGAGCGCACCUUCGGGUGAGUGGCGGACGGGUGAGUAACACGUGGGUAACCUGCCUCGCAGUGGGGAAUAACUCGCCGAAAGGCGAGCUAAUACCGCAUACCACUCCCGGUGAGAAUCCGGGUAGUAAAAGUAGCAAUACGCUGUGAGAGGGGCCCGCGGCCGAUUAGCUUGUUGGUGGGGUAAUGGCCUACCAAGGCGACGAUCGGUAGCUGGUCUGAGAGGAUGGUCAGCCACACGGGGACUGAGAUACGGCCCCGACUCCUACGGGAGGCAGCAGCUAAGAAUCUUGCGCAAUGGGCGAAAGCCUGACGCAGCAACGCCGCGUGGGGGACGAAGGCCUUCGGGUCGUAAACCCCUUUUGUGAGGGAAAGAAGUUCUGACGGUACCUCACGAAAUAAGCCACGGCUAACUACGUGCCAGC
Molecule: ribosomal RNA, 457 nt
Filed under: uncultured bacterium
Lineage: Bacteria
Description: bacterial SSU rRNA
Rfam family: Bacterial small subunit ribosomal RNA
Source: RNAcentral